UGGGGAAUAUUGCACAAUGGGCGGAAGCCUGAUGCAGCGACGCCGCGUGGGGGAUGAAGGCCUUCGGGUUGUAAACCUCUUUCGCCGGGGAAGAAGCGUGAGUGACGGUACCUGGAGAAGAAGCACCGGCUAACUACGUGCCAGCAGCCGCGGUAAUACGUAGGGUGCGAGCGUUGUCCGGAAUUAUUGGGCGUAAAGAGCUUGUAGGCGGUUUGUCGCGUCUGCCGUGAAAUCUAGGGGCUUAACUCCUGGCGUGCGGUGGGUACGGGCAGGCUAGAGUGUGGUAGGGGAGACUGGAAUUCCUGGUGUAGCGGUGAAAUGCGCAGAUAUCAGGAGGAACACCGAUGGCGAAGGCAGGUCUCUGGGCCACUACUGACGCUGAGAAGCGAAAGCAUGGGGAGCGAACAGG
RNAcentral lists this ribosomal RNA (409 nucleotides) under uncultured bacterium. RNAcentral describes it as "bacterial SSU rRNA". It matches the Rfam family "Bacterial small subunit ribosomal RNA", at positions 355 to 776 of the family's 1533-position model. The record is from RNAcentral.